RNAcentral lists this transfer RNA (73 nucleotides) under Gekko gecko (tokay). RNAcentral's name for it is "tRNA-Phe". Lineage: Eukaryota; Metazoa; Chordata; Lepidosauria; Squamata; Gekkonidae. The record is from RNAcentral.
GUUUUUGUAGCUUAACACCCAAAGCUCGACACUGAAGAUGUCACGAUGGAGAUUUGCCCCUCUUCCAAAAACA